Molecule: long non-coding RNA, 3902 nt
Filed under: Homo sapiens (human)
Lineage: Eukaryota; Metazoa; Chordata; Mammalia; Primates; Hominidae
Description: HSALNT0114435
Source: RNAcentral
AUAUAUUUCAUCAUUUUUAAAAAUCACUUUUAUGGGAAUUUUUAGUCAGUAAUUAUGUUUAGUCCUCUGUAUCACUUAGUCUUGCCAAACUUUAUCUACCAACUUUGUCAUUUUUAUGAUUUAACUGCAUUUUUAUUAUUUUAUUUUCUAUCUGUAAUUAAAUUAUAUCAAAUUUGAACUAGAAAACAGAUAGCAUAUUGCCAUUUUUUUACCUGCAUUUAACAGUUUCUUUUUUACCUGUAAAAGGCUUCUAGUUGGCAUAUUCAAACUGCACUCUGAUAGAGGCAUGAAAUUUUAAUACAUCUGGUUUAUCCCAGGUAAUUUAACUUAAUUGUGAUGUAUAUUUUUACUUAUGAGAAAUAAAAUUAAGGAUGGUACUAAACAUCUCAGAUUUGAAAAAAUAGAAAGGGGCAUUAAACCAUUUAAAGUUAAUGAGACAUAGAUAAACAAUCCAAUUAUAUCUGUUAAAUCAUCCAUGUAAUGGUAUUUUUGCAAGUUGAUUUUUCCCAAAUUAAUUUUAACAAAUUUUCUCUUUGGAAAAUGUUAUUUUCAGGAGUUGGCUUUUAGCAAAUUCUUUUAAAGGAAUCAUUUUGCUUACAAUUUUUACCCACUCUAUAGAAGUAAAAACUGAGUUGCAAAGAGUUUUGGUAGCUUGUCCAAGGUAACCCAAGAAGUAAAGGGCAAAUCAGAUUUUCUUAUCUGUUUGAUUAACAUCUGUGUCCUUAAUCACUACUCUAUGUUGCUUCUCAUAUUAUUAAAAUUCUGAUUUUUAAAAAUUAAUUCAUCUCAGUUUUCACUUUAUUGUUUAGAAUUCGUGGAUUUAAAUGGCAUCAUGAAGUUAAAGAAUGUGCUGCUUCCUAGUGAGGAAUUAUUCAAAGACAACCUGAAUAUAUUCAUUAGAUGAGGAAACUGAAACACACAGAGGUUAAGAAGCUUCUUCAAGAUUGUUAAAAAGUCUUCAGGGUUUAUAUUUUAUACAACACUAUUCGACAAGAAAACCAACGCUCCCAACCACUAAUCUAUGGUGCAAAUUGGAGAGAAAAAAAAAAAGGUUAAUGGUAAGUUGAUGUAUAACUUAUACCCCAAAGGAGGUCCAAGUGAAUACAUCAUCUGAACGUCCUCCCCUAAGAGUCUUUGUAAACAUGCUAAUGGCAUAGAUAACAGAAAGUUUCUAUAUGUAAAAGGAUUUGGGUAAAACAUACCAAAUGUGUCCAAAUUCUUUAUUGUAAAUAAGUCUGGAAUAUGAAUAUAUGGGGCACAGCAGUUUGAAAAAAUAAGUUAGUCAUGUAAGCAAUUUUCUGUCUGUGCAGUGGACAGUAAAAACACCAAAAAGGCAGAAUAAUAUUUCUAUAUAUGUUACACAAAUUCUCAACUUGUCUGUUAUUCAAAAACCAAAAUACACUUGGUGCAGAAGAGAAAGGGUAUUUCCAAGGAGCCGUGGAUGACCGUUUUACACUCCUUAAGAAAAUAAAUGUUUUAUUUAUGGCAAUUUUCCUAUAUUGUUUGAGUCAUUAGCAGGUUGGGUAUGGGCAAGAUUUGUGAUUCCUGUGGUUUGAUUUGAUAUCUGAAGUAGCCUUGGAAGCACAUAUGAGACAACCUCAGUUGUGCCUGAAGCAGAUUUACAAAUAACUUCACAGAUUCAUGGCUAUUUAUUAGAUUGUGAAGCAUGAGUACAGUUUGCCAACUAAGGAAGCAGAUAUGGAGUGCAGGUGGUAGGGAAAACCAUGGUAAAGAAUCCUUGAUUAUUUGUGAUGAAAUAAUACAAUACAACUUCAAAUAAAAACAUGCUUAAUAGUCUUUUUCUUUCCAAAAAAAAAUAUGUUUCUAAGUGAUAAAGAUGGAUGGUUCUCUCAGGUUGAAAUAUUCAUCCAUGGAAAUAAUUUGUAAACAUGAUCAAGGUCUAAAUGUAAAACAAAAUAAAAUUAAGUGAUGACCUCAAUAGCACUUAUAAUUCAUCACCAUUACAAUUAUUAUGUGCUGUGGUUUGAAUGUGUCACCCAAAAUUUUAUGUGUUGGAAACUUUGCCAUUUUAAUAGUAUUAAGAUGUGGGGUCUUAGAGGUAAUUUGACCAUGAGGGCUAUGACCUAAUAAAUGGAUUAAUGUCAUUAUCACGGGAGUAAGUGAGUUCUCACAGGAGUAUGCUCCUGAUAAGCCUGGCCCUGUUCCUCUCUCUCUCUCUCUCUGUCUCUGUCUCUGUCUCUCUCUCUUCCUCUCUCAUUUCCUCUCUCUCUCUCUCUCUCUCUCGCGGGCAUGUGCCCAUGCUUCCUCACCAUGUGAUGUCUUCUGCCAUGGGAUUACACUGUCCAGCUGCUGGUGCUAUUUUUUUGGAGUGAGACAAAUUAACUUCUGUUCUUUGUAAACUACCCAGUGUGUGGUAUUUUCUUAUAGUAGCUGAACUUGGACUUGAACACCAGUUUAACUAAUAUUAAUUACAUAACACUUAAUCUUUAAAAUAUUUAUGUGCAUUUGUGAUACUUUUAGACUGUAUUUUACAAGUGAAAGAGAAAGUCAUUUAAUAGAAUCAAACAUCCAUUAAAGGCAAAAACUAUUCACACUAUCAACAGAAAAGAACGUUCUCAAACUCAAAGUCUAGCUACAAAACAAAACAAAACUUACAGCUAACAUCUUAAUAGUGGAACAUGAAAACAAUAUCCUUGAGCAUGGAAUGUUUUUCCAUUUGUUUGUGUCAUUUCUGAUUUCUUGGAGUAGUGUUUUGUAGUUCUCCUUGUGGAGGUCUUUCAUCUCCCUGGUUAGCUGUAUUCCUAGGUGUUAUUAUUUUGUAGCAAUUGUGAAUUGGAUUGGAUUCCUGAUUUGGCUCUCGGCUUGACUGUUGUUGGUGUAGAGGAGUGUAGUGAUUUUUGCAUAUUGAUUUUGGAUCCUGAGACUUUGCUGCAGUUGUUUAUCAGCUUAAAGAGUUUGUGGGCUGAGACUCUGGAAUUUUCUAGAUAUAGGAUCAUGUCAUCUACAAGCAGGGAUAGUUUGACUUCUCUUCCUAUUUGAAUGUCCUUUAUUUCUUUCUCUUGCCUGAUUGCCUGGCCAGGACUUCCAAUACUAUGUUGAAUAGGAGCAAUAAGAGAGGACAUCCUUGUCUUGUGCUGGUUUUCAAGGGGAAUGCUUCCAGCUUUUACCCACUCAGUAAGAUGUUGGCUGUGGGUUUGUCAUAGAUAGCUCCUAUUAUUUUGAGGUAUGUUUCUCCUAUACAUAGAUUGCCGAGAGUUUUUAACAUUCAGGUGUUUAAUUUUAUCAAAAGCAAUUUUUAUAUCUAUUGAGAUAAUCAUGUGGUUUUUGUCUUUAGUUCUAUUCAUGUGGUGAAUCACAUUUAUUGAUUUGUGUAUGUGGAACCAAACUUCCAUCCUAGGGAUAAAUCCUACUUCACUGUGGUGGAUGCUUUUUGGUGUGCUGCUGGAUUCAGUGUGCCAGAAUGUUGUUGAGAAUUUUUGCACCACUGUUCAUCAGGAUAUUGGCCUGAAGUUUUCUCUUUGUUUGUGUCUUUGCCAGGUUUGGGUAUCAGGAUGAUGUUGGCCUCAAAGAAUGAGUUAGGGAGGAAUUCCUCCUCAAUUUUUGGGAUAGUUCAGCAGGAAUGGUACCAGCUCUUUCUUGUACAUCUAGUAGAAUUCAGCUGUGAAUCUGUGUGGUCCUGGGCUUUUUCAGAGCCCAUUAUUGGUCUGUCUAAGAAUUCAAUUUCUUCCUGGUUCAGUCUUGGAAGGGUGUCCAGAAUUCUUUUCAUUUCUCCUAGCUUUUCUAGUUUAUGUGCAUAGAGGUGUUUGUAAUAUUCUCUGAUGAUUAUUUGUAUUUCUGAGGGUCAAUAGUAAUAUCCGACUUGUCAUUUCUGAUUGUGUUUAUUUGGUAUUUGGAUCUUCUCUAUUUUCUUCUUUAUUGGUCUAGAUAGUGGCAUAUCUUUU